This is a long non-coding RNA of Medicago truncatula (barrel medic), 2848 nucleotides long. RefSeq lists it as uncharacterized. The record is from RefSeq and is a predicted model, not a curated record. NCBI's taxonomy places the organism in Eukaryota, Viridiplantae, Streptophyta, Magnoliopsida, Fabales, Fabaceae. The transcript is spliced from 3 exons.
AUUUUAAUGAAUAUUGAAUUAUUCACUGGCUGUGAUUGUUUAAUUUGGGGUUUAUGAAUCAUGUUUGGUCUGAUACAAAUAUGCUCUAGAAGAUUUUGAUGUCAAACCUUAGUCCUAGAGAUUAUUGUGAUUAGAUUUUUCUCAUUUGUUGAUAUUAAGCUAUAAUUGGCCUGAGAUUCAAAACAAUGAUGCAUUCUAAUCAAGAAGAGGCAGUGCCAUGAGCUCUUCUAAUGUCAGAAAUGAAUAUUCAACGGUGAUUUGUAGACGAACUUUUAUUAAAUCAAAACUGCUUAGUCUACACGCUUGACGUAAAUGUCGACAACUGGACAUAACGUUUGUUGCAAAGAUGUGUAGAAGAAAGAACAUGUUAACUUGGAACAAUCAAUUAAAGGAUAACUAGAUUUUAGCCGAUCGAGUUACUUGGAUCAUACCCUUCCUCCUCCAAGUAGUCAUAAAGGGAGGGGGAUACCCCUCCAUUUAGCAACAUAGUGAAUCUAUAGUAUGAUAGUUUGAUUAUUUUCCAAAUUCUGAGCAAUAGCAAAUCACUUAUAUAUUGCAUGACCUUGGGAAGGGAAAUAUGAAGCUGGUAAGAUCAGAUCAUUAUAUGGGGGUGCACAUGCCAACUUAUCAUUAUAACACAGUUCAAUAAAAAUUAUUUAAUAUGAGAUGACUGAGAGCUUGAUCAUGUUUUAAUGAAUAUUGAAUUAUUCACUGGUUGUGAUUGUUUGAUUUGGGGUUUAAAAUUUGGGAUUUAGAUUCUCUAUUGUUCAAAAGUGAUGAUUUUAAAACAAUCGUGUAAUUCGGGACUAUGGAUGAUUAAUACAUCGGAUUCAAAAUAUUAAUUUGAAAUGUGGGUUGGUUCAAGUUGAGUUCAUUGUUUAAAGAUUUGGGAUUUUGGUUCUAAGUAGCUGAAAUAUGUGGGCAAAGUUCAGAAUUCAGAUUUCGUUUGUUGUUAAAGAUUUCGAUAUUUGAUUCUAUGUAGUUGAAAAAUAAAAUAUUUACCCCAUCAAGCUAUUCAUAACUUUUGAUAGACUAAUAAACUAGAUUCCGAAUUCAAAACUAAAAUUGGGCAUUGUUUAGUUGAAGAUCCUUGAAUUACUGUUCAUGAUUUGUGAGUGUGGCAUCCUUGAAAGAUUGGUAUACAAGAACAAGAACCAACAUUGCCGCUGUUCCUAUUUCCAGCAUCUUAUGAAGGGGAUUGCACAAAGAAAUGCAAGAAAUCGGAAAAAGCAAAAAAACCCUUAUAUACUAGGAACUAAGUUGCUUGUGAGGAAAAGAGAUGAGUUGGUAUGGUUUUUUGGUUAUAAGUUCUUUUUGGUUCUGGUUUUGUUCUUUAGCUUACAGAUCUAUUUCCCAAAGAAAGCAAUAAUUUGAACAAUUCUUUAGGGUCUGUUUAGUUUUUUAUUUUUUAUUUGAGAGGAGGUGAGGAGAAGGGAGGAAAGUCAAAUCCCUCCUAAUCUAAUUUUAUCUCUCCUCCAAUCCUCAAAUUUUUUCGAUCUCGACUCAGCGAAGUUUAAGUAUAUUUUCUUUAUUUUGUCUUUUGUUUCAUUAGCUUCUACCAUGGAAUUGUUAGACAACUUAUGUUUGGUGGUUUUGAUGAACUAUGCGUUUGGACUUUAUCUCAGUGCACAACUUAUGUUAAACAGAUUUACUUUGUACUUGCAUAAUCUUAAUGAAGAGUUACUUUAUCGGCAAGGUUAUUUGCACCACAGUAUAUUAAGUGCAUUUUUUGAAUGAUCUCCGGCUUUCCUGAAUUGUUAUCUAUCACCACAAUUAUGACGAGCUAUAUUUUGAAACUUAAGUUCCAAAGAUUUGUUAGAGAAAUCACGAAGGAUUUCAAAACAGAUCUCCGAUUUUAGAGUAGUACUGUUUCUGCUCUUCAAGAAGCCAGUGUAGCUUAUCUUGUUGGUUUUUUUUAAGAUAAUAAUAUAUGUUGUAUUCAUGUGAACUGCUAAGAUAUUUAUCAGUUAUUACUGUUCCUAAGGUUAUCAGUUAUGCAGGUUAAGCUAUUAGUCUAUUGUGACAAUGCUAUUAGUCUAUUAUUGUAUACUAGGAACUAAGCCUUUUGAUUGAUUAUAUAUCUAAUUGAACAAGUAAUUAUUAUAUAUGCUUACAUAGUUAAUACCUUUUAAAAUGGAGACUACCUGACUUUAAUAUCUUUUUUUUUUUCUAUAUAAUUUUGCUUCUAUUUAAGCUUAUAGGGUGAUGGCUAUCUAGCUUGUGAAGUUUGUGUUUCGGCCUACAUAUUGUUUUUGUUUUCUUACUGUAGUAUUAUUUGGUAUAAAGUUUCAUGUUGUAUUGUUUUCCGAUUUGAUAAAGUUUCGAAAGUUGGAGAGGUUCUGGUUUGAUUAACUCACACACGAGCUGCUGCUUUAAGUGAAACUGGACAGUUUCCACCAAAACUAUUGAAGGAGGUCGUAUGAGAAGAAAUUAUGUGCUCUGUUAAUUUCGAAGACAAUGAACCUUCAAGUUUUUUUGAUUGGCAGACAUCUGAAACAUCUUUUCAACCUUUGAUUUCUCAAGAUUAAGGCAACUUCAUAAAUGAUGCAGCCAAGAAAGGUAGUGAUUCCAAACUUCUGAAUGCGCCAAAGGAUCCGAAUAUUCCUCAUAUAGAUGCGGAUAUUGAAGAUCCUCAACUAUACAACUUCUAUGGCUUUUAGAGGUCUCUAUUUGUAGCUGCAUGCUCUGUUUUGUUUCAAUCCUCCGACCGGUACAGCUUGUUCAGGCGAAGAGUAUUAGUAAAGUUUUAAUGGUUUUCUUUAGCAGAAUGCUUUCGAUGUAAUGAACAAAAAUGUAAAUAGAUAUUUGAAGUUAUUUAAAAUGCUAAUACAUGAUUCUAAUCUUAUCA